Molecule: ribosomal RNA, 253 nt
Filed under: uncultured bacterium
Lineage: Bacteria
Also listed under: 1 other name
Description: partial 16S ribosomal RNA
Rfam family: Bacterial small subunit ribosomal RNA
Source: RNAcentral
UACAGAGGUGGCAAGCGUUGUUCGGAAUUACUGGGCGUAAAGGGCGCGUAGGCGGCCAUCUAAGUCAGACGUGAAAUCCCCCGGCUCAACCUGGGAACUGCGUCUGAUACUGGAAGGCUAGAGUUUGGGAGAGGGAUGUAGAAUUCCAGGUGUAGCGGUGAAAUGCGUAGAUAUCUGGAGGAAUACCGGUGGCGAAGGCGGCAUCCUGGACCAAUACUGACGCUGAGGCGCGAAAGCUAGGGGAGCAAACGGG